AUUACACAUGUUGAUGAAGCUGCAAAGGCAACUCAGUAAGGUGGUGGCGGGUAGUGACCAUAAGGUGGUGGCUUCUUGUGAAUUGGUGCCGGAGUUGGUGGCAACUUUGGUGGCUGGGGAACAUAAGGUGGCAACUUUGGUGGCUGGGGAACAUAAGGUGGUGGCGGGUAGUGACCAUAAGGUGGUGGCGGGUAGUGACCAUAAGGUGGUGGCUUGUGUGGCGGCUUGUGAGGUGGGUAGUGACCAUGAGGUGGCAGCUUGUGUGGCGGCUUGUGAGGUGGGUAGUGACCAUAAGGUGGUGGCUUCUUGUGAAUUGGUGGCAACUUUGGUGGCUGGGGAACAUAAGGUGGUGGCUUGUGUGGCGGUUGUGAGGUGGGUAGUGACCAUAAGGUGGUGGCUUCUGGUGAAUUGGUGGCGGAGUUGGUGGCUUAAUUGGUGGCCUGAUGAUAAUGGGAGGCAGCUUUGGUGGCUGGGGAACAUAAGGUGGCGGGUAGUGACCAUAAGGUGGUAGCUUGUGUGGCGGCUUGUGAGGUGGGUAGUGACCAUAAGGUGGUGGCUCCUUGUGAAUUGGUGGCGGAGUUGGUGGCAACUUUGGUGGCUGGGGAACAUAAGGUGGCGGCUCGUGAGGUGGGUAGUGGCCAUAAGGUGGUGGCUUCUUGUGAAUUGGUGGCAGCUUUGGUGGCUGGGGAACAUAAUGUGGCGGCUUGUGAGGUGGGUAGUGGCCAUAAGGUGGUAGCUCCUUGUGAAUUGGUGGCGGAGUUGGUGGCAACUUUGGUGGCUGGGGAACAUAGGGUGGCGGCUCGUGAGGUGGGUAGUGACCAUAAGGUGGUGGCUUCUUGUGAAUUGGUGGCAGCUUUGGUGGCUGGGGAACAUAAUGUGGCGGCUUGUGAGGUGGGUAGUGACCAUAAGGUGGUAGCUCCUUGUGAAUUGGUGGCGGAGUUGGUGGCAACUUUGGUGGCUGGGGAACAUAAGGUGGCGGCUCGUGAGGUGGGUAGUGGCCAUAAGGUGGUGGUUUAUGGUGAAUUGGUGGCUUGGGCUCGACCGGAGGCUUCACGACUGGAGGUGGAUAGUGGAUUGGCUCUGGAGGCUUCUUGUACGGUGGAGGAUGGUGAUGCUCAUAUGGGGG
RNAcentral lists this long non-coding RNA (1126 nucleotides) under Coffea arabica (coffee). RNAcentral's name for it is "long non-coding RNA (CARA_LNC002106)". Lineage: Eukaryota; Viridiplantae; Streptophyta; Magnoliopsida; Gentianales; Rubiaceae. The record is from RNAcentral.